AACGAACGCUGGCGGCAUGCCUAACACAUGCAAGUCGAACGAGACCUUCGGGUCUAGUGGCGCACGGGUGCGUAACGCGUGGGAACCUGCCCUUAGGUUCGGAAUAACUCCCCGAAAGGGGUGCUAAUACCGGAUAAUGUCUUCGGACCAAAGAUUUAUCGCCUUUGGAUGGGCCCGCGUUGGAUUAGCUAGUUGGUAGGGUAAAAGCCUACCAAGGCGACGAUCCAUAGCUGGUCUGAGAGGAUGAUCAGCCACACUGGGACUGAGACACGGCCCAGACUCCUACGGGAGGCAGGAGUGGGGAAUAGUGGACAAUGGGCGAAAGCCUGAUCCAGCAAUGCCGGGUGAGUGAUGAAGGCCUUAGGGUUGUAAAGCUCUUUUACCCGGGAUGAUAAUGACAGUACCGGGAGAAUAAGCGCCGGCUAACUCCGUG
Molecule: ribosomal RNA, 433 nt
Filed under: uncultured bacterium
Lineage: Bacteria
Description: partial 16S ribosomal RNA
Rfam family: Bacterial small subunit ribosomal RNA
Source: RNAcentral